This 277-nucleotide ribosomal RNA is filed under the name uncultured bacterium. Its description in RNAcentral is "partial 16S ribosomal RNA". It matches the Rfam family "Bacterial small subunit ribosomal RNA", at positions 28 to 304 of the family's 1533-position model. The record is from RNAcentral.
GAUGAACGCUAGCGGCAGGCCUAAUACAUGCAAGUCGAACGGGAUUGGGGAGCUUGCUCCCCAUGAGAGUGGCGCACGGGUGCGUAACACGUAUGUAACCUACCCAUAUCAGGGGGAUAGCCUCUCGAAAGAGAGAUUAAGCCCGCAUAACAUCUUUAUGUGGCAUCACAAGGAGAUCAAAUAUUUAUAGGAUAUGGAUGGGCAUGCGGAACAUUAGCUAGUUGGUAAGGUAACGGCUUACCAAGGCGACGAUGUUUAGGGGAUCUGAGAGGAUGAC